RNAcentral lists this long non-coding RNA (1099 nucleotides) under Felis catus (domestic cat). Its description in RNAcentral is "lncRNA (ENSFCAG00000051168.1)". The record is from RNAcentral. Lineage: Eukaryota; Metazoa; Chordata; Mammalia; Carnivora; Felidae.
ACAUCAACAGGGAGCUUUGCCUAGAACACUGUGACCUAAAAAAUCAUAUUAAGGAACUCAGAAUGCAGAGUCAGUCUCAGAGACACCAAGUGACCUUGUGCAAGGCACCUUGCAGACUGCCUUGCCUACUUGACUCCCCUAAUGAAUGGUGACUGCCUCGGCCACCCGCCUCCCCUCAACUGCAAUUGUACUAAAAAGCUUCCAGAAGGCCCACUACCUACAGAAACUUCUGGAAGGCCAAGUACCCUAAUACAGCUGUGCAUCCAACAACCUUCUCCAGGUUCGGUCAGACUCAAUUCUGGUUCCCCAUUAGGCCUCAGGUCCUACCCACAGUCUGGGGGCUGGAGAGGCUAAUCUCAAAGGGCUAGAAAUGAGUCAGUUUCCACACUCACCUUCAGGUGUGUGGCUUCCUGAAGCACAGACGAGGAAGCUCUAAAUUUCAGAGUGAUUUUUUUUUCUUUGCAUACCAUAUCCGGAACUGAAACCACCAAUUCAUUUCACUUAAGCCCUCACACACUACACUCAGAUCAUCAAUAACAUUCCAGAGAUAAGAUACCAAGACUUCAUCAACCAUUCCUUCUGUCUCUUCUCCUCUUUUUUUCUUUCGGUGGUGAUGUUGUUAGCAUCUUUUCUUCUUCCUCUUCUUCUUCUUCUUCUCCUCCUCCUGACAACACAGGAUUUGGAGGUCUUUGUUUUCUUCACGAAGAAUUGUUUAUGAGAAUUGGGAGCCAAAUAUCUAAAGCUCUGCUAAGAGUUUGGCCUUACUCAUAACUUUCUGCUUUCCCUUGCUAGUCAACUUGGCUGCGUGUGAGUGUAAAGUCAUUGACUCAGGGUCCCAUUCCAGAGGGUAACUGACUUUGCCACGAGCUUCCACACAUGGGUCACCUCACUAACCCAUGAAAGUGGAUAAAAGAUGGGGCCUGGGGAGAGAUUCAUGCAAAGCGUGUUCACAGAACAGGAGAGCAGUGGAAAACACGAGUACCCUACUAAUGCCAGCCAAAGCAUCAACACAUUAGAAGAAGGAAGGGCCCCUACCAUUUAUAUAGUACCUUACAAUUUAUAAACCACUUUCACAUCCUUUCUCUCUCCUGAUUCUCAC